This 428-nucleotide ribosomal RNA is filed under the name bacterium. Its description in RNAcentral is "partial 16S ribosomal RNA". It matches the Rfam family "Bacterial small subunit ribosomal RNA", at positions 355 to 776 of the family's 1533-position model. The record is from RNAcentral.
UGGGGAAUCUUGCGCAAUGGGCGAAAGCCUGACGCAGCGACGCCGCGUGAGGGAAGAAGGCCUUCGGGUUGUAAACCUCUUUCAGGAGGGACGAAGCCACUCGGGUUAAUACCCCAGAGGGUGACGGUACCUCCAGAAGAAGCCCCGGCUAACUACGUGCCAGCAGCCGCGGUACUACGUAGGGGGCAAGCGUUGUCCGGAAUUAUUGGGCGUAAAGCGCGUGUAGGCGGCCAGAUAAGUCCGCUGUGAAAUCUCGAGGCUCAACUUCGAGCUGUCGGUGGAAACUGUCUGGCUAGAGUCCGGAAGAGGAGAAUGGAAUUCCUGGUGUAGCGGUGAAAUGCGCAGAUAUCAGGAAGAACACCCGUGGCGAAGGCGGUUCUCUGGGACGGUACUGACGCUGAGACGCGAAAGCGUGGGGAGCGAACAGG